GUCUUUUUGAUUAUAAUUUAAAGUCUAAUCUGCCCAAUGAAUUUUUAAAUGGCUGCGGUAUUUUGACCGUACAAAGGUAGCAUAAUCAUUAGUUUUUUAAUUGAAAGCUAGAAUGAAUGAUUGAACGAGAAAAUUACUGUCUCAAUUUAAUUUUUUUAGAAUUUUAUUUUUAAGUUAAAAAGCUUAAAUAAUUUUUAAAGACGAGAAGACCCUAUAGAGUUUAAUAUUUUUAGUAUUAUAAAUUUUAUUAAUCUUUUAAUUAUUAAAAAUAUUUUAUUGGGGUGAUAAUUAAAUUUAAUAAACUUUAAUUUUUAUACACAUAAAUUUAUGAAUAAAUGAUCCAUUAUUAAUGAUUAAAAGAUUAAAUUACCUUAGGGAUAACAGCGUAAUUUUUUUUAAGAGUUCUUAUCGAAAAAAAAGAUUGCGACCUCGAUGUUGGAUUAAAAUUAAAUUUUGGUGUAGAAGCUAAAACUUUAAGUCUGUUCGACUUUUAAAAUUUUACAUGAUCUGAGUUUAAACCGGCGUGAGCCAGGUUGGUUUCUAUCUUAAAAUAAUUUAAAUAUUUUAGUACGAAAGGACCAAAUAUUUAUAAUAAUUAUUAAUUUUUGAAUAU
RNAcentral lists this ribosomal RNA (613 nucleotides) under Ochthebius colveranus. RNAcentral's name for it is "partial 16S ribosomal RNA". The stretch from base 377 to 535 matches the Rfam family "Bacterial large subunit ribosomal RNA", at positions 2473 to 2632 of the family's 2925-position model. Lineage: Eukaryota; Metazoa; Arthropoda; Insecta; Coleoptera; Hydraenidae. The record is from RNAcentral.